CUCAGCUAAGAUUCCCAGCAACAGUGGAAAGGGUGUCUGAACUGGCCUUUCCUUAUAAUCAGCUGUCUUCAAAUAAAAGUGUUCAAGUGUGAAAAGAUCCAGAAAGAGUCCACCCUGCACCUGGUCCUCCACCUCAGGGGUGGCAUGCAGAUCUUCGUGA
Molecule: long non-coding RNA, 160 nt
Filed under: Cricetulus griseus (Chinese hamster)
Lineage: Eukaryota; Metazoa; Chordata; Mammalia; Rodentia; Cricetidae
Description: lncRNA (ENSCGRG00000024352.1)
Source: RNAcentral